RNAcentral lists this ribosomal RNA (277 nucleotides) under uncultured Lachnospiraceae bacterium. RNAcentral's name for it is "partial 16S ribosomal RNA". It matches the Rfam family "Bacterial small subunit ribosomal RNA", at positions 70 to 339 of the family's 1533-position model. The record is from RNAcentral. Lineage: Bacteria; Bacillati; Bacillota; Clostridia; Lachnospirales; Lachnospiraceae.
AAAGAUUCUUCGGAUGAUUUCCUAUUUGACUGAGCGGCGGACGGGUGAGUAACGCGUGGGUAACCUGCCUCAUACAGGGGGAUAACAGUUAGAAAUGACUGCUAAUACCGCAUAAGACCACAGCACCGCAUGGUGCAGGGGUAAAAACUCCGGUGGUAUGAGAUGGACCCGCGUCUGAUUAGGUAGUUGGCGGGGUAACGGCCCACCAAGCCGACGAUCAGUAGCCGACCUGAGAGGAUGAACGGCCACACUGGAACUGAGACACGGUCCAGACUCC